AACGCACCUUGCGCUCCCCGGUAUUCCAGGGAGCACACCUGUUCGAGUGUCGUGAAUUCUCAAGCUAGAUGCUUUUUCUUAAUCGCAAAAGCUAUCUUAGUUUGGUUGUUGGGCUUUGCCGUGCCCUUUUAUUAGGGAACGGCUGGCCUUAAAAGCAUUAGCUGGCCCUUUCGUAGCAUUGGUUCUACUCAGCGUGAUAAUAAAUUCUGACCGCUGAGGACAUCUUUCGGGAUGGCCAAUUCUUGCUUGGGUUGCUUCGAGUCCUGGUUUACAGAUGUCUGAAUCUGUUCCACUCUCAAGUUUGACCUCGAAUCAGGUGGGACUACCCGCUGAACUUA
This 338-nucleotide ribosomal RNA is filed under the name uncultured Clavulina. Its description in RNAcentral is "eukaryotic LSU rRNA". The record is from RNAcentral. Lineage: Eukaryota; Fungi; Basidiomycota; Agaricomycetes; Cantharellales; Hydnaceae.